AUUUGUUUAACUAUGGCAAUAGAAAGUUUUCCGCAGGCUAACCGCAUAAAAUGUGUUUUUUUUUGUAUUGCUUAUGUUUGACAUACGUUUAUUAGCGGGUAGUUUUUUAUUUAAACGUGAGUUUUUUAAGAGUCUGCCGGGAUAAAAGGGGAUCGGACACAGUGCCAGCAUCCGCGGUUAUUCUGUUUUCUUUGCUUUUUUCUAGUCAGCAGUGUUACGUUUAUAGGCAAGGUUAGGUGAAAAUUUCUUGUUUUUAUUACAUGCGUGGCAAAGCGUAGUAAAUAACUUAUGAGCGACAGGGAUUAGAUACCCCAUUAGCGGGUUAUGUAAUGUGAUUUAGUUGUAUAACUAAAAUAGUUUGGCAGCGAGUUAUUCCUAUCAGGGGAAGGUGCAGUGUAAGGGACGAUCCGCCAAAUAAUUAACCUAAUUUAUGUUGGUGUACAUCUGGUUUAAUAUUAAUGCUUAAUGGCUUAAUUUGUGUAUAGGUUUAAUUUAAGCCAAGUCUAUGUGCUGCAUGAUUAGGGUUCUUGUGCGUUACAUUUAUAAUAUGUUUGCUGUAAAUGAGAUUUAUUUAGGACUUGAAAGUAAUAGAACUUUUGGAUAAGCUAGCUUCUGUGAAAGGGGUUUAACUCGGGUACACACCGCCCGUCACCCUCGACAUUUGUUGAGGUAAGUCGUAACAAGGUAACCCCAGAGGAAUCUGGGGUUAGUUGCUUACGGCGUUA
RNAcentral lists this non-coding RNA (725 nucleotides) under Haplobothrium globuliforme. Lineage: Eukaryota; Metazoa; Platyhelminthes; Cestoda; Haplobothriidea; Haplobothriidae. The record is from RNAcentral.